Molecule: ribosomal RNA, 497 nt
Filed under: uncultured bacterium
Lineage: Bacteria
Description: partial 16S ribosomal RNA
Rfam family: Bacterial small subunit ribosomal RNA
Source: RNAcentral
GAUGAACGCUGGCGGCGUGCCUAAUACAUGCAAGUCGAGCGAACGGACGAGGAGCUUGCUCCUCUGACGUUAGCGGCGGACGGGUGAGUAACACGUGGAUAACCUACCUAUAAGACUGGGAUAACUUCGGGAAACCGGAGCUAAUACCGGAUAAUAUAUUGAACCGCAUGGUUCAAUAGUGAAAGACGGUUUUGCUGUCACUUAUCGAUGGAUCCGCGCCGCAUUAGCUAGUUGGUAAGGUAACGGCUUACCAAGGCAACGAUGCGUAGCCGACCUGAGAGGGUGAUCGGCCACACUGGAACUGAGACACGGUCCAGACUCCUACGGGAGGCAGCAGUAGGGAAUCUUCCGCAAUGGGCGAAAGCCUGACGGAGCAACGCCGCGUGAGUGAUGAAGGUCUUCGGAUCGUAAAACUCUGUUAUUAGGGAAGAACAAAUGUGUAAGUAACUAUGCACGUCUUGACGGUACCUAAUCAGAAAGCCACGGCUAACUACGUG